UGCAAAGUUAAAAUAGGCAAAGGUUUC
RNAcentral lists this non-coding RNA (27 nucleotides) under Rattus norvegicus (Norway rat). The record is from RNAcentral. Lineage: Eukaryota; Metazoa; Chordata; Mammalia; Rodentia; Muridae.